This 71-nucleotide transfer RNA is filed under the name Salmo salar (Atlantic salmon). It matches the Rfam family "tRNA". From Rfam's summary of the family: Transfer RNA (tRNA) molecules are approximately 80 nucleotides in length. The record is from Rfam by way of RNAcentral. RNAcentral also lists the same sequence under 1 other name. Lineage: Eukaryota; Metazoa; Chordata; Actinopteri; Salmoniformes; Salmonidae.
CCCCGUGUAGCUCAGUUGGUAGAGCAUGGCGCUGGCAACGCCAGGGUUGUGGGAUUGAUAUCCCACAGGGA